UACGGAGGGUGCAAACGUUGUCCGGAAUCACUGGGCGUAAAGCGCAUGUAGGUGGUUUUGUAAGUGAACGAUUAAAGACCGAUGCUUAACGUCGGGAAGGUUGUUCAUACUGCAAAACUUGAGUGUGGCAGGGGUAAGCGGAACUUUAGGUGUAGGAGUGAAAUCCGUAGAUAUCUAAAGGAACACCAAUGGCGAAGGCAGCUUACUGGGCCAUUUCUGACACUAAGAUGCGAAAGCGUGGGGAGCAAACGGG
RNAcentral lists this ribosomal RNA (253 nucleotides) under uncultured bacterium. RNAcentral's name for it is "partial 16S ribosomal RNA". It matches the Rfam family "Bacterial small subunit ribosomal RNA", at positions 524 to 776 of the family's 1533-position model. The record is from RNAcentral.